AAUUAGUUUGAUUCUAGCUAGUAUAUUAGCUUUUAUGAAAAAUUACAUGUAUAAUUUUAUUAAUUUUUUUUUAUUCAGUAUUUAAUAUUUUUAAGUAGAAAGUUUUAUAUAAGGUAUCUUAUUAAAAUGGAUUAAUGUUGUGCCAGCAUUCGCGGUUAUACAAUUUAUUUAUGUUAAUAUUUUAGGUUAUAAAUUAUUAAUAAAUAAGGUUAUUUAAUAUAAAAAUUUAGGUGGAAUUUAUUUUUAUAAAUUAAUCUUUAAAUAAAUUUUUAUAAAACAUAAUAUUAAACUAGGAUUAGAUACCCUAUUAUUUAUGAAUUAGUAUUUACAGGACAUUAGUAGGUAUAUACUAUGAAACUUAAAGAAUUUGGCGGUGAUUUAUAUCUUAUUAGAGGAACCUGAUCUUUAAUUGAUAAACCACGAUAUGUUUUACCUCUUAAUUAUUUGUAUAUCUCUAUGUAAUAGAAUGUUUUAAUAAGAAUAUUUUCUUUUAUUUUUUAAAAUUAUUUUAGGUCAAGGUGCAGUUUUUAUGAAGGAUGGUUUGGGUUACUUUAGUUUUAUUUAUUAAUUAGUUUGUUAUUUAUGAUUUAAAAAUUUAUUAGGAUUUAAUAGUAAUUUUAACUACUUAGUUAUUAUGAAUAAAGUUUUAAAUCAUGUACAUAUCGCCCGUCGCUCCUAUUUAAAGGAUAAGUCGUAACAAAGUAAUUUUACCGGAAGGUGAGGUUAGUUGAAU
This 733-nucleotide non-coding RNA is filed under the name Durgades nigropicta. Lineage: Eukaryota; Metazoa; Arthropoda; Insecta; Hemiptera; Cicadellidae. The record is from RNAcentral.